This 71-nucleotide transfer RNA is filed under the name Bos taurus (domestic cattle). It matches the Rfam family "tRNA". From Rfam's summary of the family: Transfer RNA (tRNA) molecules are approximately 80 nucleotides in length. Their secondary structure includes four short double-helical elements and three loops (D, anti-codon, and T loops). Further hydrogen bonds mediate the characteristic L-shaped molecular structure. tRNAs have two regions of fundamental functional importance: the anti-codon, which is responsible for specific mRNA codon recognition, and the 3' end, to which the tRNAs corresponding amino acid is attached (by aminoacyl-tRNA synthetases). tRNAs cope with the degeneracy of the genetic code in two manners: having more than one tRNA (with a specific anti-codon) for a particular amino acid; and 'wobble' base-pairing, i.e. permitting non-standard base-pairing at the 3rd anti-codon position. RNAcentral also lists the same sequence under 1 other name. The record is from Rfam by way of RNAcentral. Lineage: Eukaryota; Metazoa; Chordata; Mammalia; Artiodactyla; Bovidae.
UCCUGAUAGCUCAGUCGGCAAAGAAUCUGCCUGCAGUGCAGGAGAUCCAGGUUUGAUUCCUGGGUCAGGAA